This 663-nucleotide ribosomal RNA is filed under the name Hippophae rhamnoides subsp. yunnanensis. RNAcentral's name for it is "eukaryotic LSU rRNA". The stretch from base 278 to 433 matches the Rfam family "5.8S ribosomal RNA". The record is from RNAcentral. Lineage: Eukaryota; Viridiplantae; Streptophyta; Magnoliopsida; Rosales; Elaeagnaceae.
UUGUCGAAACCUGCCAUGCAGAACAACCCGCGAACUAGUUUAAAAAUAGGGGAUGAUCUAGCCUCUUGGACAUGAUUAUUACCCAUUGUUAGUUGGAAUGUUGUUUGUGCUUGCACCUUUUCUCUGUGAAAGUGGUAAGCAUGAUGACAUUUCCCUGGCAAAAAUAACUAACCCAUGGCGCAGAUUGCGCCAAGGAACUCGAACGAAUGAGCGUGCUCUCCUUGGCCCGGAUAUGGUGUCCUUGUGAGGGUUAUGUUGUCUUCGAUAUGUAAAAAACGACUCUCGGCAACGGAUAUCUCGGCUCUCGCAUCGAUGAAGAACGUAGCGAAAUGCGAUACUUGGUGUGAAUUGCAGAAUCCCGUGAACCAUCGAGUCUUUGAACGCAAGUUGCGCCCAAAGCCAUCAGGCUGAGGGCACGUCUGCCUGGGCGUCACACACCGUUGCCCUCCCAACAUCACGUUCCUUCAAGGCUACGUUGGUUGUGAAGGCGCAUAUUGGCUUCCCGUGAGCUUUUGCCUUGUGGUUGGCCCAAAUUUUUAGUCAUUGGCGACCUGUGCCGCGACAAUGGUGGUUGUCGAAACUUCGGUGCCCUGUCGUGUGUGCGGGUUGUUAGUGAUACAAGGACCCAACGCAUCCAAUGUGAUGCCUCUUGAUGCGACCCCA